Molecule: ribosomal RNA, 321 nt
Filed under: uncultured bacterium
Lineage: Bacteria
Description: bacterial SSU rRNA
Rfam family: Bacterial small subunit ribosomal RNA
Source: RNAcentral
GACGAACGCUGGCGGCGUGCUUAACACAUGCAAGUCGAGCGGUAAGGCCCUUUCGGGGUACGACGAGCGGCGAACGGGUGAGUAACACGUGGGUGACCUGCCCUCAGCUCUGGGAUAAGCCUGGGAAACCGGGUCUAAUACUGGAUAUGACUCCAUGACGCAUGUUGUGGGGUGGAAAGCCUUGUGCGGCUGAGGAUGGGCCCGCGGCCUAUCAGCUUGUUGGUGGGGUGAGGCCUACCAAGGCGACGACGGGUAGCCGGCCUGAGAGGGCGACCGGCCACACUGGGACUGAGACACGGCCCAGACUCCUACGGGAGGCAG